Molecule: ribosomal RNA, 531 nt
Filed under: uncultured Alphaproteobacteria bacterium
Lineage: Bacteria; Pseudomonadati; Pseudomonadota; Alphaproteobacteria
Description: bacterial SSU rRNA
Rfam family: Bacterial small subunit ribosomal RNA
Source: RNAcentral
CUUCGGAGUGAGCGGCGGACGGGUUAGUAACGCGUGGGAACGUGCCCUUCUCUAAGGAAUAGCCACUGGAAACGGUGAGUAAUACCUUAUACGCCCUUCGGGGGAAAGAUUUAUCGGAGAAGGAUCGGCCCGCGUUAGAUUAGAUAGUUGGUGGGGUAAUGGCCUACCAAGUCUACGAUCUAUAGCUGGUUUUAGAGGAUGAUCAGCAACACUGGGACUGAGACACGGCCCAGACUCCUACGGGAGGCAGCAGUGGGGAAUCUUGGACAAUGGGCGCAAGCCUGAUCCAGCCAUGCCGCGUGAGUGAUGAAGGCCUUAGGGUCGUAAAGCUCUUUCGCCAGAGAUGAUAAUGACAGUAUCUGGUAAAGAAACCCCGGCUAACUCCGUGCCAGCAGCCGCGGUAAUACGGAGGGGGUUAGCGUUGUUCGGAAUUACUGGGCGUAAAGCGCACGUAGGCGGAUCAGAAAGUAUAGGGUGAAAUCCCAGGGCUCAACCCUGGAACUGCCUUGUAAACUCCUGAUCUUGAGUUCG